UGGGGAAUAUUGCACAAUGGGGGAAACCCUGAUGCAGCAACGCCGCGUGAGGGAAGAAGGUUUUCGGAUUGUAAACCUCUGUUUUUAGUGAAGAAACAAAUGACGGUAGCUAAAGAGGAAGCCACGGCUAACUACGUGCCAGCAGCCGCGGUAAUACGUAGGUGGCAAGCGUUGUCCGGAUUUACUGGGUGUAAAGGGUGCGCAGGCGGGACUGCAAGUUGGAUGUGAAAUACCGAGGCUUAACCUCGGGGCUGCAUCCAAAACUGUAGUUCUUGAGUGGAGUAGAGGCAAGCGGAAUUCCGAGUGUAGCGGUGAAAUGCGUAGAUAUUCGGAGGAACACCAGUGGCGAAGGCGGCUUGCUGGGCUCUAACUGACGCUGAGGCACGAAAGCAUGGGGAGCAAACAGG
Molecule: ribosomal RNA, 407 nt
Filed under: uncultured bacterium
Lineage: Bacteria
Also listed under: 1 other name
Description: bacterial SSU rRNA
Rfam family: Bacterial small subunit ribosomal RNA
Source: RNAcentral